GUCGUCUGGCUUCUCUUCAGUUAUCGAAUAAAUCUUUCGCCUUUUACUAAAGACUUUCGUGGAGAGGAGCACUCUAAUGAGUCUGUAAGCAAUUUUUUUUUUUUCCAAUUUCAUGCGAAU
This 120-nucleotide small nuclear RNA is filed under the name Glossina austeni. Its description in RNAcentral is "U5 spliceosomal RNA". It matches the Rfam family "U5 spliceosomal RNA". Rfam says of the family: U5 RNA is a component of both types of known spliceosome. The record is from RNAcentral. Lineage: Eukaryota; Metazoa; Arthropoda; Insecta; Diptera; Glossinidae.